AGUGACAAAAAUCACCAUUUCGUUACCUUGGUUAAUCGAUGACGCUCAUUCCAUGACGAACCAUUUUUCGUCACAAGUUCGUCAUAGAUGAACUUCUGUGACGAUUUUUGAGUCUUCGGUGACGAAAGUAUAGCAUCAUUGAUGAGCACUUCCCUAGUAGUGCAUUUUGUGCUUAUAUAUAUCUUUGCUUAGUUUGCUAAAUAAAUAAAUAAAGUGUCUGUGCCAAACUGAACUUCAAUGAUAAACUCUUACAUGGAUAUGAUGAAUAGUUGCUCUGCCAAGUAUCUAGUUUUCAAAUUUGAGCUCUCUCUCAAGUUUAGGCAUAACUGUUAUAAUUUAAAGCUUGCUCUAAACCUGAAUUUACGGGAAGAGUACCUAAUUAAAAGUCUAAGUCAUUAACAGAUAUGAUAUGGGAAGGUUGAGCUGCUGUUUAUCUGUUCCAAGAGAUGCUAGAAUUCUGGAGAAUUUUAUCUUUGAAAAUCUUUAAAAUGUUGCAUGAUGAGAGUUAUAUACAAGCUUAUUAGACUAUGAACCAUACAUUUACUUUUUACUGCUUAUGAGCAUUGAGUGUGGUCAAGCUGUGUAGACCCUUAGGAGCUUGUCAUGCGGUUAAAAUCAAGAUUCACUUGCACGUUCACUCAUACAUGCUGCUUCUACUCCAGAAGUACGCAUCCACAUACAUCCACACAUUUCCAUAUCCAGAUUCACCCAGAAUUAUUCUGCUCCUAUCUAGGAGAGAAUAGCCAAAAACAUUAUCUUAUCCCUGUUAUUCCCCGUAAAAUAAAUGCUCGAGAUAUUUUGGUUACUACCACUUUCUACAUUAUUCUAGGAGGGUGAGUGCUCUGGAAAAAAGUGAAUACGAGGAAAUAAAAAGGGGCAAGUGCCCGAAACCUCGAAAAAGAAGAAAAAAAAUGAAAAAGUGAGACGAGAGGUAAAACUGGACAAGUGUCCGACAGUAGAAUUAGGGGUACAAGAUACCCACCUGAGAGAAAACAAAAAUAAAAUAUAGAGCGUCUCAUUCCCCUCAAAAGCCUCAAGUGCAAGAAAGGUAUGUACCCCCUCAAAAGAGCAAAAGUAGAAUUAGACUUUCACCAUUAUUUUCACCAUUAUCACCAUUCAUUCGCCACACAUGCACAUCUUGAUUUGACUUAUUGACUUGUUCUUCUGGAUCCAUGGUUUGACUAUGCAAUAAGUGUCUUGUAAGUAUGUAUUAGCUGUCUCCCACCUAUGAGCUCCAGAUAUCAAAACCUUAUUAGAGUAAGGUGAGAGAGAAGGCAAUACCACUAUGCCUCAUACCAAAAAUACCACAUACUUUGAGAGAAGACAUACACCAUUACUGCCUUGGUAAGGAUCCAAAAAUACCACAAGAGAGAGACUAGAGAGAGUCAUACAAGGAAUCUCUGAGUUUUAUUUGAAAAUCUGCAAAAACUCCAGAGCUAUAGUUAAUCGAAGAACAAGAGACAUGGCGCUUGACUAGACCGUUCUAUCUUUUAACUGCUCGAGACAUAAGUGACGGUUACAAGCCCCAUGGUGGAAGGUAAAAUGAGUAAGUUUAAAUCUUAAUAGUUUACCCUAACCCAAAGAUGAGAUCUUGUUUGAACGCAUGUGUAUCUUUAAGGCAUGAAACCACUGCAGAAACUCUUGAGUCCAUCUUUGCUCAGGGACAAGCAAAGGUUAAGCUUGGGGGAGCUUGUUGACGGUCCUUAAUGCUCACAUUUACCCGUCAACUAAUCAUGAAAAAGGAUCCAAAUGCAACCGACACCAACACUUAGGGUUUUAUCUAACAGAUUUCCAC
RNAcentral lists this long non-coding RNA (1795 nucleotides) under Sorghum bicolor (sorghum). RNAcentral's name for it is "long non-coding RNA (SBIC_LNC009187)". Lineage: Eukaryota; Viridiplantae; Streptophyta; Magnoliopsida; Poales; Poaceae. The record is from RNAcentral.